AUGGCUUGGAAUCCAAGUCGUGGUCGUGGUGGUGGUGGCAACGUGACGGCAAACCGUGAGGAUGAAAUUAGAUUCCGUAGACAACUAGAAGCCCUUAGCUCUGAUGAAGAAUACAGUGAGCAGGAUGAUACACAGAGACCAAGCUUCCGAGGGCCAGUGGCUAUCCGUAGGCAUCAUCGGGGAAUAGGAUUCAGAAGUGGUGGUAGAGGAAGAAACGAUAAUUUUUUCAGACGAAGAUUUCCAGAAAAUCAUCCUUCAUUUCUUCUGAUGAGACAUGACAACAGUGAAGAUCGAUCAGGUUGGAAUGGAAACCAAUCUGAAGAGAGACAACCACAAAUAGAGGGAAAUCAAGUUUCCUUCAGGAGAUUUCAUGACCACUCCCAAUCUCGUGGUCGCCCCAUUAACAGAUCUCAUGGCCGACACUCCAGAUCUCCUAGCCCCUUCAGGAGAGCACCUGUCCACUCAGAUAGACCAUAUCAUGACCACUCAGAUAGACCCCAUCUUGACCACUUUGAUAGACCCAGGGGUGACCACUUAGAUAGACCCCGUCAUGACCACUUGGAUACACCUGAGGAUGAACUCUCAGAUGAACCCCAUCAUGACCAUGCAAAUAGACCAUAUUAUGACCACUCAGAUAGACCCCAUCUUGACCACUUUGAUAGACCCAGGGGUGACCACUUAGAUAGACCCCGUCAUGACCAUGUAGGUAGACCACAUCAUGACCACGCAGAUAGACUCCGUCAUGACCACUUGGAUAGACCUCAAGAUGAACACUUAGAUGGACCCCGUCAUGACCAUGCAAAUAGACCAUAUUAUGACCACUCAGAUAGACCCCGUCAUGACCAUGGAGCUAGACCAUAUCAUGACCAUACAGAUAGACCUCGUCAUGACCACUCAGAUAGAUUCCAUCUUGACCACUUGGAUAGACCCCAAGAUGACCACUUAGAUAGACCCCGUCAUGACCAUGUAGGUAGACCAUAUCAUGACCACUCAGAUAGACCCCGUCAUGACCAGGCAGGUAGACCAUAUCAUGACCACUCAGAUAGACCCCAUCUUGACCGCUUGGAUAGACUCCAAAAUGACCACUCAGAUAGACCCCGUCAUGACCAUGCAGGUAGACCACAUCAUGAAUACUCAGAUAGACCAUAUCAUGACCACUCAGAUAGACCCCGUCAUGACCAUGCAGGUAGACCACAUCAUGACCACUCAGAUAGACCUUAUCAUGACAAUUUAGAUAGACCACAUCAUGACCACUCAGAUAGACCCCGUCUUGGCCACAUGGGAAGAGCUCGUCUUAGCCGUGCAGGGCUAGCUCGCCGUGGCCAGAGAGGGAGAGAUCAUCUUAAUCACACAGGGCUGGCUCUUCCCAACCAUGCAGAGAGAGCUCAUCUAAGCCACACAGAGCUAGCUCAUAGUGGUCACAGAGGAAGAGCUCGUCGUGGCCAAAGAGGGAGAGCUCGUCCCAACCGUACAGGGCUAGUUCGUAACAGCCAUGCUGGGAGAGCUAAUAAUGACCACUUAGGGAGACUUCAUCCUGGCCAUGUAAGGAGAGCUCAUAACAACCGUACAUGGAGAUCUCGAAGUCUUGAAGAGAGAUAUCGUGGUCAAAGAGAAAGAUUUGGAAGAAUCCAAACAUCACCGGAAUCUGACCCUGAAAUUGACAGAACUUCUACAAUAAGAGAACAGACUGAAUACUUAUUUGAUCAGGAACGGCACAGAAAUGAGCUAAUUAAUCUGAAUGGAGGGCUGAUAGAAGAAGGCUACAGCUCUGAUCAAAGUGACGAAAGUUCUGACAGAUUCACCAUACUGAGGACUUUGAGACGUGCCAGAUUAAACAAUAUGAACAAUGGACAAGGAAGACGGGAAGACUGAACUGUCCUUUCCUAUUAGGGGUUAGCUGCUAAUUGCACUGAACCAUACUUAGGAGCAUAAAUAUAUUCUUAGAAUGUUGGACUUUAGACUUAUUAUUGAAGUACUUUCUUAGGUAGGGUUUGAUGCUAGGAUUUUGUUGAUACUAAGCACUUGGAAGUAAAAAUUGUUUAGCACUGUUUGCAUAAGAGAAUAAGGAGAUGAGCAAAAAGAAAGCUGGUUUAAGUGGGUCAUUUUAAGGAAACAGCUAUCUUUAGAAUGAUAAGGUUUUUUUCAAUGUGAGAGAAAAUAUAAUUUACUGUAGUCCUUAAGCUGUGGAACCUAUAUAGCUGAUAAGAAAGUUCUCUCCACAAAAACCAAUCCCUGUUAGUAACUUUAACUAUUGUAUUGCUAAAAUAGAAAACUUUUGUACUGUUACAUUUUAUAGAAAUUGGUACUGUAACAGAAAGUGAAGUGUUAACAUCUUCUGUUGUUGGUUUUAUAAGCACAUGAAAAAUAAUAAAGUGUAUGAGCAUUGGCAUUUCUUUAUUUAUUUAUUUCAGUGCUAGAACUAGAGCCUAGGGCCCUGGGAGUGUGAGACAGCUCAGCAGGCAAAGGCACUUGGCACCAAGCUUCAUCCACAUGAGAUCACCCCUGUGUUCACGUAGUAGAAAGAGAGAAGUGACCUUUUUUUUCUUGUUUUUCUUGUUUUUUGUUUUUUCUUUCAAGACAGGGUUUCUCUGUGUAGCUUUGGAGGUUGUCAUGGAACUCGCUCUGUAGACCAGGCUGGCCUCGAACUCACAGAGUUCUGCCUGCCUCCGCCUCCCGAGUGCUGGUAUUAAAGGUGUGCACCACCAACGCCCAGGUGAGAACUGACUUCUACAAGUUGUCAUCUAACCUCUUCCAUAUGUAUGCCUGUACACAAAUACACAAAAUAAAAAAUGUAAUUAAAAAAAAAGAGCCUGGGGCCUUAAGCAUCGUAGGCCAUGGUCUACUACUCUGCUGUCUCCCCAGCUCAAAUAAUAUUUAAAUAUAAAUAUGAUUUUUUUUCCUGACCACUGAUAAUUGGAGUCCAAAGCAAUAAUGAUCCUGAUAUGAUAAAUCAGCAAAGUAUGACUUUGACCUCUCGGCCUCUGUGUUCAAUUAACCUUAUAGUUCUACAUUCCACAAAGUGAUGCUGUAAUUAUGUGGUAUUUCUGUAUAAGGCUGGUGCGAUGGUUACUGUCAGUUCACCACUUGAUGAGGUCCAGAAUCAAUUGGGAGACUGCUUCUGGGUAUGCCUGUGGGGGGAAUAUCGUUAACUGAAGUAGGAAGACCCACCCACUGUGGGUAGCACCAUUCCCUGGGCUGUGAUUUCUACUGUGGGAAAAGUAGAAAAUGGGCUAAACACAAGCAUUCAUAGCUGCUUCAAGUUCCCAUUGCUGUGAUUUCCUCACCAUAACAGUCUGUAACCUCAAAAGGCCAGUUAAAAUACACAUUUUUUCUUCUCUAAGUUGAUUUUACCACGGCAAUGGGCUAUUAAACAAAAAACAAAAAACAAAAAAACAUUAAGUUGGCAGAAGGGAAUGGAUCUAGGAGAAGCUAGAAGUAGAGCAAGUGUGUGUGGGGGUGGUGAAAGGGGCUAGUGGCAAAAUGAUCAAUCUACACCAGGUUUCUUCAUUCUAAGGGCAUUUUGAAGCCACACUACUCUAAUUAGCCUUGGGACUAAAAAGUUCUCAUCUCCAGGUCAUUUGCUCUGUUAGGAAUUGGAAAUAUAGGAGUAAAAUAAAUACAUUUUAAUAAAUUGUUUUGAAACAGCACUUCAUAUAGCCACAGCUGACCUCAAGGUUGUUACAUAGCUAGAUUUGAACUCUUGCUCUCCCUGCCUCCACCUCAAAGGUGCUGUGAUUACAGAUGUAUCCAAAUGUGCCUAACUAAACAAAACAAUUAUUAUAAAAUUGUUUCCAUGAGGCUUACAUUCAAGGAUAUCGAUUAUCUGUCAGUCAGGUUCUGUUUGCCUCUCAGGGAGCAAGUGACUGUGUCAGCAAUAUUUGUUUAAUUGUCAAAACUGAUUGAUGGAGCAUCUCAUGAGUACAGGCCAGAGACGCUACCAAAAAAAAAAAAAAAAGGUGCUACAAUGCACAGCAGAGUCUUUCAUGGCAAGGGAUUAUCUUGGCCCAAAUGUAAGUCCCUGUUCAAGAAGGCAAUGAAAAGUAAAAUACAGAGUAUGACAUUUAUGCAUGUAUCUUACAUUUAGAGAGGCCCCUUUGUAAAUAAUAGAAAUGUUUUUCGUAUGCCUAUUAAAUUAUGAAAAACAGAAAUUACAUAUGCUCUGAAUUAC
RNAcentral lists this long non-coding RNA (4168 nucleotides) under Cricetulus griseus (Chinese hamster). RNAcentral's name for it is "lncRNA (ENSCGRG00000024511.1)". The record is from RNAcentral. Lineage: Eukaryota; Metazoa; Chordata; Mammalia; Rodentia; Cricetidae.